AUGAAACAAACGAUGCAUAUGUAACAUAUAAGUUUUCCAAGAAAUAAAGCAAUUAGUGUUCGCUAUACUGAAAGAAAUGAUCGUGACACAAUGACCAUUAAGAGGAGUAGAGAUACGAAAAUCUACUCAGUAGGUGUGAAAGUCUAAAUUUCAACAAAAGAAAUUUGAGGACUUUACCUGGGGUUUCGUGUGACGACCAAUUGUUAGGUGACAUUACCAUGGAAUGUCGAACAUAUCGUAUUCGUCGUUAAUAAGAUAGGGGGAAUACGAAGGCAUGCGUCUUCUCCCGAGCAUGACUCGUGUCGUUUGCAGGACCGCGUGCCAAACCGCCGCUUCCUGACCGAUAGUUCUCCUGCUGACAGGAAUCUAGUGUCGUCGUUGAAUUACGCCAUCGUUUCUUCUCAAAGGCCUCGCCUUGAUAGUCGUAUGUGUCGAACUUCAACCCCCGUUGAUAUAUAGCUUAAGUUUCACGUAUACCUGUGCAUUAGUGUUUCGUCUCGCGUAGAAUGUGAUGUACUCCGACAUCUGUUGACAUAAAAUUUGGGUUCCAUGUAUCCUCGUGCACUAGCGUCUGUUGUGCGUAUGCUGCCUGCUCGGGAAGU
RNAcentral lists this long non-coding RNA (602 nucleotides) under Helianthus annuus (common sunflower). RNAcentral describes it as "sRNA HanXRQr2_Chr01g0006411". The record is from RNAcentral. Lineage: Eukaryota; Viridiplantae; Streptophyta; Magnoliopsida; Asterales; Asteraceae.